CCUACGGGAGGCUGCAGUGGGGAAUAUUGGGCAAUGGGCGCAAGCCUGACCCAGCAACGCCGCGUGAAGGAAGAAGGCUUUCGGGUUGUAAACUUCUUUUCUCAGGGACGAAGCAAGUGACGGUACCUGAGGAAUAAGCCACGGCUAACUACGUGCCAGCAGCCGCGGUAAUACGUAGGUGGCAAGCGUUAUCCGGAUUUACUGGGUGUAAAGGGCGUGUAGGCGGGGACGCAAGUCAGAUGUGAAAACCACGGGCUCAACCUGUGGCCUGCAUUUGAAACUGUGUGUCUUGAGUACUGGAGAGGCAGACGGAAUUCCUAGUGUAGCGGUGAAAUGCGUAGAUAUUAGGAGGAACACCAGUUGCGAAGGCGGUCUGCUGGAC
RNAcentral lists this ribosomal RNA (382 nucleotides) under uncultured bacterium. RNAcentral describes it as "partial 16S ribosomal RNA". It matches the Rfam family "Bacterial small subunit ribosomal RNA", at positions 338 to 734 of the family's 1533-position model. The record is from RNAcentral.